Molecule: ribosomal RNA, 433 nt
Filed under: uncultured bacterium
Lineage: Bacteria
Description: partial 16S ribosomal RNA
Rfam family: Bacterial small subunit ribosomal RNA
Source: RNAcentral
AACGAACGCUGGCGGCAGGCCUAACACAUGCAAGUCGAGCGAGGACUUCGGUUCUAGCGGCGGACGGGUGAGUAACGCGUGGGAAUGUGCCCUUCUCUACGGAAUAGCCCUGGGAAACUGGGAGUAAUACCGUAUACGCCCUAUUGGGGAAAGAUUUAUCGGAGAAGGAUCAGCCCGCGUUGGAUUAGGUAGUUGGUGGGGUAAUGGCCUACCAAGCCGACGAUCCAUAGCUGGUUUGAGAGGAUGAUCAGCCACACUGGGACUGAGACACGGCCCAGACUCCUACGGGAGGCAGCAGUGGGGAAUCUUAGACAAUGGGGGCAACCCUGAUCUAGCCAUGCCGCGUAAGUGAUGAAGGCCUUAGGGUUGUAAAGCUCUUUCAGCUGGGAAGAUAAUGACGGUACCAGCAGAAGAAGCCCCGGCUAACUCCGUG